Molecule: non-coding RNA, 23 nt
Filed under: Arabidopsis thaliana (thale cress)
Lineage: Eukaryota; Viridiplantae; Streptophyta; Magnoliopsida; Brassicales; Brassicaceae
Source: RNAcentral
GUAGUUCUGUUCUAAACAUGGUU